Athelia sp. TMB is the source of this 72-nucleotide non-coding RNA. The record is from the annotation of a GenBank genome assembly. NCBI's taxonomy places the organism in Eukaryota, Fungi, Basidiomycota, Agaricomycetes, Atheliales, Atheliaceae.
GACCCGUUGGCGUAGUGGCAAGCGCGUCCAUCUCCGUGAAGGAAGGCUCCUGUUCAAUUCAGGAUCGGGCCG